This 568-nucleotide long non-coding RNA is filed under the name Mytilus galloprovincialis (Mediterranean mussel). The record is from RNAcentral. Lineage: Eukaryota; Metazoa; Mollusca; Bivalvia; Mytilida; Mytilidae.
ACAUUUCAACGAUGUAUUUGGAGAACCCGAUGGAGUACACAGUAUUGACUGUGUAUGGAAACUAUCUGCUAAAUGUUUCGAUUGCUGGAAGCUUCUUUGCUACAACAUACUGACAAUAUUCUAUGGUGUCUGCAUUGCGGCUGAGUGGGGCUGUGAAUUUGCUGUCAUUGCUUUCUAUCAUAUUUGGAUCAUUUCACCCUGCAUGAAGAUUUUUGAAAUUAAUUGUGGAAUUUGUCAAAGGAUUUAUUCUACUUGUGUGAAUUGCUGUAUAGUACCGUGGUGCGAGGCCUUCGGAAGUUUAUUCAGUGCCUUCAAGAAGUAAACCAUAGUACCAUUGUGCGAGGCCUUCGGAACCAUUAUCAGUGCCUUGAAGAAGUAAACUAGACUUUGCAGCGUGAGCUAGUAGUACCAUGCAGACAUAUCAAAAGACAUCAGUACAUUUUAUUGUAACUUAGCACAUGCUUUUCAUUGUAAGACCUAUGCGUAGAUAUUUGUAGAACCACAACAAAAGGAGGACAGUUAUAAUACACAAACACAUUUAUUUAUGUACCUGUAUUUCCAAACCACG